RNAcentral lists this ribosomal RNA (497 nucleotides) under uncultured bacterium. RNAcentral's name for it is "partial 16S ribosomal RNA". It matches the Rfam family "Bacterial small subunit ribosomal RNA", at positions 28 to 507 of the family's 1533-position model. The record is from RNAcentral.
GAUGAACGCUGGCGGCGUGCCUAAUACGUGCAAGUCGAGCGAACAGACGAGGAGCUUGCUCCUCUGACGUUAGCGGCGGACGGGUGAGUAACAUGUGGAUAACCUACCUAUAAGACUGGGAUAACUUUGGGAAACCGGAGCUAAUACCGGAUAAUAUAUUGAACCGCAUGGUUCAAUAGUGAAAGACGGUUUUGCUGUCACUUAUAGAUGGAUCCGCGCCGCAUUAGCUAGUUGGUUAGGUAACGGCUUACCAAGGCAACGAUGCGUAGCCGACCUGAGAGCGUGAUCGGCCACUAUGGAACUGUGACACGGUCCAGACUCCUACGGGAGGCAGCAGUAGGUAAUCUUCCGCAAUGGGCGAAAGCCUGACGGAGCAACGCCGCGUGAGUGAUGAAGGUCUUCGGAUCGUAAAACUCUGUUAUUAGGGAAGAACAAAUGUGUAAGUAACUAUGCACGUCUUGACGGUACCUAAUCAGAAAGCCACGGCUAACUACGUG